UGUGCUGCCCACGCCGCGGCCUGCGGCUCCUCUCGGGGGGCGGGCCGGGGCGGAUCCAGACACCUAGCACUUUGCCGGGGCAUCCCUCACGCAUUUUUAAAACCUUGUUGGCUCCUUUUUUAUUUUGACGCAGCCACUUGAAGCUCUCUGUCAGCCUGCUAGAUCCCACUCACCUCGGGUGCUGGGUCGCAAAAACAAAAGAACCUUCAUGCAAGUCCGUUAUGGUCCUAUUCUAUGAACUGCAGUUCAUUUUGACAAAUGGGUGCUCAGCCUCUUGUGAGGACAUCACUGAGAAAUCACACUCAAGGAAAGCUGUUUAAUAUACUACUGUGUUGUCUCUGGACGUCAAAGAAAACGUUGCGGGAUCCUUAAAAUGACUGUGCAUUCCAGACUAUGAAUUCUUCUAAUCGUG
This 412-nucleotide long non-coding RNA is filed under the name Struthio camelus australis. RNAcentral's name for it is "lncRNA (ENSSCUG00000013232.1)". Lineage: Eukaryota; Metazoa; Chordata; Aves; Struthioniformes; Struthionidae. The record is from RNAcentral.